Long non-coding RNA from Phasianus colchicus (ring-necked pheasant), 307 nucleotides. RefSeq lists it as uncharacterized. The record is from RefSeq and is a predicted model, not a curated record. NCBI's taxonomy places the organism in Eukaryota, Metazoa, Chordata, Aves, Galliformes, Phasianidae.
CAGUAGGGAAGGAUCAUUGCUUGGAGAUUGUUUAUUUUGGAGUUUUUCUGUGAGCCCAGGAUAUGGCAUUUACUGGUAGUCUGCUUACUCUUGUUGAAGCUUUGAUGCUGAUGUUGUGUUGAUCUCCUUAAUGUAUAACUUAUGUGUAAAACUAUACCAGAAGAACAUUAAACUCUAGGAGCCAGAACUUAGGAUAUGUUGAAGUUAUACUUGUCUGUACAACCUUCUCUACGAACUACCAUGUACCUGAAUUGUCUGGUUUUGUGAUCAUGUGAUUGUUUUCUCCCAUCAUUACCAUUUUUUUUUU